AUUGAACGCUGGCGGCAGGCCUAACACAUGCAAGUCGAGCGAGCGGCGGACGGGUGAGUAAUGUAUGGGGAACUGCCCGAUAGAGGGGGAUAACUACUGGAAACGGUGGCUAAUACCGCAUACUAUCGGAUGUACCCAUAUGGGAUUAGCUAGUAGGUGGGGUAAAGGCUAACCUAGGCGACGAUCUCUAGCUGGUCUGCGAGGAUGAUCAGCCACACUGGAACUGAGACACGGCCCAUACUCCUACGGGAGGCAGCAGUGGGGAAUAUUGCACAAUGGGCGCAAGCCUGAUGCAGCCAUUCCGCGUGUAUGAAGAAGGCCUUAGGGUUGUAAAGUACUGGCAGCGGGGAGGCGUUACCCGCAGAAGAAGCACCGGCUAACUCCGUGCCAGCCGCCGCGGUAAUAC
This 406-nucleotide ribosomal RNA is filed under the name uncultured bacterium. RNAcentral describes it as "partial 16S ribosomal RNA". It matches the Rfam family "Bacterial small subunit ribosomal RNA", at positions 30 to 526 of the family's 1533-position model. The record is from RNAcentral.